This 468-nucleotide ribosomal RNA is filed under the name uncultured bacterium. RNAcentral describes it as "partial 16S ribosomal RNA". It matches the Rfam family "Bacterial small subunit ribosomal RNA", at positions 28 to 507 of the family's 1533-position model. The record is from RNAcentral.
GACGAACGCUGGCGGCGUGCUUAACACAUGCAAGUCGAACGGUGAAGCUCCAGCUUGCUGGAGUGGAUCAGUGGCGAACGGGUGAGUAACACGUGAGCAACCUGCCCCUGACUCUGGAAUAAGCGCUGGAAACGGCGUCUAAUACUGGAUACGAGAAGGGUCCGCAUGGGCACUUUCUGGAAAGGUGUUCGGUUGGGGAUGGGCUCGCGGCCUAUCAGCUUGUUGGUGAGGUAAUGGCUGACCAACGCGACGACGGGCAGCCGGCCUGGGAGGGCGACCGGCCACAUUGGGACUGAGACGCGGCCCAGAAUACGACAGGAGGCAGCAGUGGGGAAUAUUACACAAUGGACGAAAGCCUGAUGCAGGGACGCGGCGUGCGGGAUGACGGCCUUCGGGGGGUAAACCUCUUUCAGCAGGGAUGAAGCGAAAGUGACGGUACCUGCAGAAGAAGCACCGGCUAACUACGUG